AGAGCGAACGCUGGCGGCAGGCUUAACACAUGCAAGUCGAGAGGGCGUAGCAAUACGUCAGCGGCAGACGGGUGAGUAACGCGUGGGAACGUACCUUUUGGUUCGGAACAACCCAGGGAAACUUGGGCUAAUACCGGAUAAGCCCUUACGGGGAAAGAUUUAUCGCCGAAAGAUCGGCCCGCGUCUGAUUAGCUAGUUGGUGAGGUAAUGGCUCACCAAGGCGACGAUCAGUAGCUGGUCUGAGAGGAUGAUCAGCCACAUUGGGACUGAGACACGGCCCAAACUCCUACGGGAGGCAGCAGUGGGGAAUAUUGGACAAUGGGCGCAAGCCUGAUCCAGCCAUGCCGCGUGAGUGAUGAAGGCCCUAGGGUUGUAAAGCUCUUUUGUGCGGGAAGAUAAUGACGGUACCGCAAGAAUAAGCCCCGGCUAACUUCGUGCCAGCAGCCGC
This 448-nucleotide ribosomal RNA is filed under the name uncultured bacterium. RNAcentral's name for it is "SSU rRNA". It matches the Rfam family "Bacterial small subunit ribosomal RNA", at positions 26 to 518 of the family's 1533-position model. The record is from RNAcentral.